This 468-nucleotide ribosomal RNA is filed under the name uncultured bacterium. RNAcentral describes it as "partial 16S ribosomal RNA". It matches the Rfam family "Bacterial small subunit ribosomal RNA", at positions 28 to 507 of the family's 1533-position model. The record is from RNAcentral.
GACGAACGCUGGCGGCGUGCUUAACACAUGCAAGUCGAACGGAAAGGCCCUGCUUUUGUGGGGUGCUCGAGUGGCGAACGGGUGAGUAACACGUGAGUAACCUGCCCUUGACUUUGGGAUAACUUCAGGAAACUGGGGCUAAUACCGGAUAGGAGCUCCUGCUGCAUGGUGGGGGUUGGAAAGUUUCGGCGGUUGGGGAUGGACUCGCGGCUUAUCAGCUUGUUGGUGGGGUAGUGGCUUACCAAGGCUUUGACGGGUAGCCGGCCUGAGAGGGUGACCGGCCACAUUGGGACUGAGAUGCGGCACAGACUCCUACGGGAGGCAGCAGUGGGGAAUAGUGCACAAUGGGCGGAAGCCUGAUGCAGCAACGCCGCGUGCGGGAUGACGGCCUUCGGGUUGUAAACCGCUUUCGCCUGUGACGAAGCGUGAGUGACGGUAAUGGGUAAAGAAGCACCGGCUAACUACGUG